This 1500-nucleotide ribosomal RNA is filed under the name Vibrio parahaemolyticus. RNAcentral's name for it is "partial 23S ribosomal RNA". It matches the Rfam family "Bacterial large subunit ribosomal RNA", at positions 197 to 1749 of the family's 2925-position model. The record is from RNAcentral. Lineage: Bacteria; Pseudomonadati; Pseudomonadota; Gammaproteobacteria; Vibrionales; Vibrionaceae.
AACAUCUAAGUACCCCGAGGAAAAGAAAUCAACCGAGAUUCCGAAAGUAGCGGCGAGCGAAAUUGGACUAGCCCUUAAGCUUUACACGCGUUAGACGAACGGUCUGGAAAGUCCGACGAUACAGGGUGAUAGUCCCGUAGUUGACGACGUGUGUUCAGUGAAAUCGAGUAGGGCGGGACACGUGAUAUCCUGUCUGAAUAUGGGGGGACCAUCCUCCAAGGCUAAAUACUACUGACUGACCGAUAGUGAACCAGUACCGUGAGGGAAAGGCGAAAAGAACCCCUGUGAGGGGAGUGAAAUAGAACCUGAAACCGUGUACGUACAAGCAGUAGGAGCAGGCUUUGUCCUGUGACUGCGUACCUUUUGUAUAAUGGGUCAGCGACUUAUAUUCAGUGGCAAGGUUAACCAUCUAGGGGAGCCGUAGGGAAACCGAGUCUUAACUGGGCGUUCAGUCUCUGGAUAUAGACCCGAAACCAGGUGAUCUAGCCAUGGGCAGGUUGAAGGUUGAGUAACAUCAACUGGAGGACCGAACCGACUAAUGUUGAAAAAUUAGCGGAUGACUUGUGGCUAGGGGUGAAAGGCCAAUCAAACCUGGAGAUAGCUGGUUCUCCCCGAAAGCUAUUUAGGUAGCGCCUCGGACGAAUACUACUGGGGGUAGAGCACUGUUAAGGCUAGGGGGUCAUCCCGACUUACCAACCCUUUGCAAACUCCGAAUACCAGUAAGUACUAUCCGGGAGACACACGGCGGGUGCUAACGUCCGUCGUGGAGAGGGAAACAACCCAGACCGCCAGCUAAGGUCCCAAAUUACUACUAAGUGGGAAACGAUGUGGGAAGGCUCAGACAGCCAGGAUGUUGGCUUAGAAGCAGCCAUCAUUUAAAGAAAGCGUAAUAGCUCACUGGUCGAGUCGGCCUGCGCGGAAGAUGUAACGGGGCUAAGUAGUAAACCGAAGCUGCGGCAAUAUACUUUUGUAUAUUGGGUAGGGGAGCGUUCUGUAAGCGGUUGAAGGUGUGUGGUAACGCAUGCUGGACGUAUCAGAAGUGCGAAUGCUGACAUGAGUAACGAUAAAGGGGGUGAAAAACCUCCUCGCCGGAAGACCAAGGGUUCCUGUCCAACGUUAAUCGGGGCAGGGUAAGUCGACCCCUAAGGCGAGGCCGAAAGGCGUAGUCGAUGGGAAACGGGUUAAUAUUCCCGUACUUCUUACAAUUGCGAUGGGGGGACGGAGAAGGCUAGGUGGGCCUGGCGACGGUUGUCCAGGUUCAAGUGCGUAGGCUUAAGAGUUAGGUAAAUCCGGCUCUUUCUAAGGCUGAGACACGACGUCGAGCACCUACGGGUGUGAAGUCAUUGAUGCCAUGCUUCCAGGAAAAGCCUCUAAGCUUCAGAUUGUAAGGAAUCGUACCCCAAACCGACACAGGUGGUCGGGUAGAGAAUACCAAGGCGCUUGAGAGAACUCGGGUGAAGGAACUAGGCAAAAUGGUACCGUAACUUCGGGAGAAGGUAC